Molecule: ribosomal RNA, 253 nt
Filed under: uncultured bacterium
Lineage: Bacteria
Description: partial 16S ribosomal RNA
Rfam family: Bacterial small subunit ribosomal RNA
Source: RNAcentral
UACGGAGGGUGCAAGCGUUAAUCGGAAUUACUGGGCGUAAAGCGCACGUAGGUGGGCUGAUAAGUCAGAUGUGAAAGCCCCGGGCUUAACCUGGGAAAGUCAUCUGAAACUGUCAGUCUAGAGUACAGUAGAGGGUAGUGGAAUUUCCGGUGUAGCGGUGAAAUGCGUAGAUAUCGGAAGGAACAUCAGUAGCGAAGGCGGCUACCUGGACUGCAACUGACACUGAGGUGCGAAAGCGUGGGGAGCAAACAGG